Molecule: microRNA precursor, 101 nt
Filed under: Medicago truncatula (barrel medic)
Lineage: Eukaryota; Viridiplantae; Streptophyta; Magnoliopsida; Fabales; Fabaceae
Description: miR395h stem-loop (mtr-MIR395h)
Gene: mtr-MIR395h
Source: miRBase by way of RNAcentral
GACUUUCUCUGAACACUUCAUACAAGAGGUUAUCCAUCUAAUCUAAAAGUCAUUAGAUAUUUACGAUGGGUCGUUCUUCAAUGAAGUGUUUGGGGGAACUU